CCAAGACGAUGAUGUGUAGCUGGACUGAGAGGUUGAACAGCCACAUUGGGACUGAGACACGGCCCAAACUCCUACGGGAGGCAGCAGUAAGGAAUUUUUGGCAAUGGAGGAAACUCUGACCGAGCGACGCCGCAUGAACAAUGAAGUACUUCGGUAUGUAAAGUUCUUUUAUUGAAAAAGAAAAAAUAGUGGAAAAACUAUCUUGACAUUAUUCAAUGAAUAAGCCCCGGCUAAUUAUGUGCCAGCAGCCGCGGUAAUACAUAAGGGGCGAGCGUUAUCCGGAAUUAUUGGGCGUAAAGGGUGCGUAGGCGGUUUGAUAAGUCUAUAGUUUAAUUGCAGUGCUUAACGCUGUACCGCUAUAGAAACUGUCUGACUAGAGUUAGAUAGAGGCAAGCGGAAUUCCAUGUGUAGCGGUAAAAUGCGUAAAUAUAUGGAGGAACCCCAGAGGCGUAGGCGGCUUGCUGGGUCUUAACUGACGCUGAGGCACGAAAGCGUGGGGAGCAAACAGGAUUAGAUACCCCGGUAGUCCACGCCGUAAACGAUGAGUACUAAGUGUCGGGUUUUGGCUCGGUACUGAAGUUAACACAUUAAGUACUCCGCCUGAGUAGUACGUACGCAAGUAUGAAACUUAAAGGAAUUGACGGGACCCCGCACAAGCGGUGGAUCAUGUUGUUUAAUUCGAAGAUACACGAAAAACCUUACCAGGUCUUGACAUAAUUUUGCGACAUUAUAGAAAUAUAAUGAAGGUUAUCAGAAUUACAGGUGGUGCAUGGUUGUCGUCAGCUCGUGUCGUGAGAUGUUAGGUUAAGUCCUAAAACGAGCGCAACCCUUGUCGUUAGUUGCGGCCACAUAAUGGUGAGCACUUUAGCGAGACUGCCAAUGAAAAAUUGGAGGAAGGUGAGGAUUACGUCAAAUCAUCAUGCCCCUUAUGAUCUGGGCUACAAACGUGAUACAAUGGCUUUUACAAAGAGUAGCUACAACGUGAGUUUUUAGCCAAUCUCAAAAAAACAGUCUCAGUUCGGAUUGAA
This 1028-nucleotide ribosomal RNA is filed under the name Candidatus Phytoplasma phoenicium. RNAcentral's name for it is "bacterial SSU rRNA". It matches the Rfam family "Bacterial small subunit ribosomal RNA", at positions 268 to 1302 of the family's 1533-position model. The record is from RNAcentral. Lineage: Bacteria; Bacillati; Mycoplasmatota; Mollicutes; Acholeplasmatales; Acholeplasmataceae.